This 488-nucleotide ribosomal RNA is filed under the name uncultured bacterium. RNAcentral's name for it is "partial 16S ribosomal RNA". It matches the Rfam family "Bacterial small subunit ribosomal RNA", at positions 28 to 507 of the family's 1533-position model. The record is from RNAcentral.
GACGAACGCUGGCGGCGUGCUUAACACAUGCAAGUCGAACGCGCCUGUCCUCUGGGUUUCUGGGGGGUGGGUGAGUGGCGAACGGGUGAGUAACACGUGAGUAACCUGCCCCCUUCUUCGGGAUAACGGUCUGAAAGGGCUGCUAAUACCGGGUAUUCACUGGUCUCCGCAUGGGGUCUGGUGGAAAGGUUUUUUUCUGGUGGGGGAUGGGGUCGCGGCCUAUCAGCUUGUUGGUGGGGUGAUGGCCCACCAAGGCUUUGACGGGUAGCCGGCCUGAGAGGGUGACCGGUAACAUUGGGACUGAGAUACGGCCCAGACUCGUACGGGGGGCAGCAGUGGGGAAUAUUGCACAAUGGGCGCAAGCCUGAUGCAGCGACGCCGCGUGAGGGAUGGAGGCCUUCGGGUUGUGAACCUCUUUCGCCCGUGGUCAAGCCGCGACGUGGGUCGUGGUGAGGGUAGUGGGUAAAGAAGCGCCGGCUAACUACGUG